ACCCGCUGAACUUAAGCAUAUCAAUAAGCGGAGGAAAAGAAACCAACAGGGAUUGCCUUAGUAACGGCGAGUGAAGCGGCAACAGCUCAGAUUUGAAAUCUGGCCCUUUCAGGGUCCGAGUUGUAAUCUGUAGAGGAUGCCUCGGCGUCGGCCCCGGUCUAAGUUCCUUGGAACAGGACGUCACAGAGGGUGAGAAUCCCGUACGUGACCGGUGGCUCAGCCAUGUGAGGCUCCUUCGACGAGUCGAGUUGUUUGGGAAUGCAGCUCUAAAUGGGAGGUAAAUUUCUUCUAAAGCUAAAUAUUGGCCAGAGACCGAUAGCGCACAAGUAGAGUGAUCGAAAGAUGAAAAGCACUUUGGAAAGAGAGUUAAAAAGCACGUGAAAUUGUUGAAAGGGAAGCGCUUGCAACCAGACUUGCCCGCAGUUGCUCAACCGGUCUCUCGGCCGGUGUACUCUUCUGCGGUCAGGCCAGCAUCAGUUCGGGCGGUCGGAUAAAGGCCCCGGGAAUGUGGCCUCCUUCGGGGGGUGUUAUAGCCCGGGGCGGAAUGCGGCCUGCCUGGACUGAGGUCCGCGCUUCGGCUAGGAUGCUGGCGUAAUGGUUGUAAGCGGCCCGUCUUGAAACACGG
This 625-nucleotide ribosomal RNA is filed under the name uncultured fungus. RNAcentral describes it as "LSU rRNA". It matches the Rfam family "Eukaryotic large subunit ribosomal RNA", at positions 23 to 664 of the family's 3401-position model. Lineage: Eukaryota; Fungi. The record is from RNAcentral.